CAUCUCCCUACUGCAUCUCUGGAGCUCAGCCACAGUGAUCUUUGGGUUCUUCUUUACCUCUCUCACCAAGGCUCUUCUCCCACGAUUGCUCAGUUUGGCUGGACAGCCAGGUCUAGAAGAGUUCUGGUCGUCCCAAACUUCUUCCAUUUAAGGAUUAUGGAGGCCACUGUGCUCUUAGGAACCUUGAGUGCUGCAGAAAUUCUUUUGUGACCUUGGCCAGAUCUGUGCCAUGCCACAAUUCUGUCUCUGAGCUCCUUGGGCAGUUCCUUCGACCUCAUGAUUCUCAUUUGCUCUGACAUGCACUGUGAGCUGUAAGGUCUUAUAUAGACAGGUGUGUGCCUUUCCUAAUCAAGUCCAAUCAGUUUAAUUAAACACAGCAGGACUCCAAUGAAGGAGUAGAACCAUCUCAAGGAGGAUCAGAAGAAAUGGACAGCAUGUGAGUUAAAUAUGAGUGUCACAGCAAAGGGUCUGAAUACUUAUGACCAUGUGAUAUUUCAGUUUUUCUUUUUUAAUAAAUUUGCAAAGAUUUUUACAUUUCUGUUUUUUUCUGUCAAGAUGGGGUGCUGAAUGUACAUUAAUGAAAAAAUAAAAUUAACUUUUUUGAUUUUAGCAAAUGGCUGCAAUGAAACAAAGAGUGAAAAAUUUAAAGGGGUCUGAAUACUUUCCCUACCCACUAUAGAGAGGACCAUAGACCUGUGCUUUAA
Molecule: long non-coding RNA, 704 nt
Organism: Sander lucioperca (pikeperch)
Lineage: Eukaryota; Metazoa; Chordata; Actinopteri; Perciformes; Percidae
Exons: 4
Source: RefSeq, a predicted model, not a curated record